CCUACGGGAGGCAGCAGUGGGGAAUAUUGCGCAAUGGGCGAAAGCCUGACGCAGCGACGCCGCGUGAGGGAUGAAGGUCUUCGGAUCGUAAACCUCUGUCAGCAGGGAAGAACGGUCACUGUGCUAAUCAGCAGUGAAUUGACGGUACCUGCAAAGGAAGCACCGGCUAACUCCGUGCCAGCAGCCGCGGUAAUACGGAGGGUGCGAGCGUUAAUCGGAAUUACUGGGCGUAAAGCGCUCGUAGGCGGUAUGUCAAGUCAAGGGUGAAAUCCCCGCGCUCAACGUGGGAACUGCCUUUGAAACUGGCAAACUGGAGUGUGUGAGAGGAUAGUGGAAUGCCAGGUGUAGGAGUGAAAUGCGUAGAGAUCUGGAGGAACAUCAGUGGCGAAGGCGACUAUCUGGCACAUAACUGACGCUGAGGAGCGAAAGCGUGGGUAGCAAACAGGAUUAGAUACCCUUGUAGUC
This 465-nucleotide ribosomal RNA is filed under the name uncultured bacterium. Its description in RNAcentral is "partial 16S ribosomal RNA". It matches the Rfam family "Bacterial small subunit ribosomal RNA", at positions 338 to 795 of the family's 1533-position model. The record is from RNAcentral.